AAUAAAUUUUUUAUGGUUUAAAAAAUUUAUUUUAAAUUUGUUUUACAUAUAAAUUUUAGUGUUAGUUUUUAUUUAUUUAAAUAAUAAAUAAUUUUUUAGUAGUAAUUAGUUUUAAAAAUUUAAGAAAUUAGGAUUUAGCAAUAUAAAAAUUAAUAACUAAUUUUGUGCCAGCAGUUGCGGUUAUACAAAAAUUGAUUUAAAUUUUUUUAGAUUUUAAUUAAUAAUUGUUUUUAUAGUUAAAAUUUUAAAUUAUUAAGUGAAAUUUUAAUUUAAAAAAAAAUUAUUUAAAAUUUAUGAUUUAAUAAAUUUAUUAAAAGACUAGGAUUAGAUACCCUAUUAUUAAAAUUUAAAUUAUUAUUCUAAAAUAGUAGGUAAUUUUUUAUUGAAACUUAAAUAAUUUGGCGGUAUUUUAGUUUAUUUAGAGGAAUCUGUUUAAUAAUUGAUAAUCCACGAAUAAAUUUACUUAAUUUAAAAUUUUGUAUAUCGUUGUUAAAAAAAUAUUUUUUAAUGAGAAUAAUAUUUAAAAAUUAAAAUUAAAAAUUAAAUCAGAUCAAGAUGCAGAUUAUAAUUAAGAAUAUAAUGGAUUACAAUAAAUUUAUUUAUUUUGGAUUUUAAUUUGGAAUAAUUAAAUAAAAUUGGAUUUAAAUGUAAUUUUAUUUAAUUUAAUAAAAUGAUUUUUUAUUAAAAUAUGUACAUAUUGCCCGUCGCUUUCAUUUAUAAAUUGAAAUAAGUCGUAACAAAGUAGAGGUACUGGAAAGUGUUUCUAGAAAGAA
This 773-nucleotide non-coding RNA is filed under the name Psilogramma increta. The record is from RNAcentral. Lineage: Eukaryota; Metazoa; Arthropoda; Insecta; Lepidoptera; Sphingidae.